GUUGACAUCGCAGAAGGAAUGAGUUCAGCAAACCAAUUUACUCUCAUGUGGUUGUGUUGGGUUCAGCUUUGGUUGCCCUUUAAAGACAUUGAUUUUUUUUUUAAUCAGGAUCAUACGCCUCCACAUGAGCUCUGUGUCCUUUAAAACAGACACUUUGGAGAUGCUGAGAACCAAGAAAAUGAGCCAAAUGUUUCUACGACUCUUCACUUUGAAUUUCCUUGGGAAUACUGGACACUUCCCUUUUAACAUUUUCAGGGUGACGACUUUUUAGUCUUUGAGGGCUGGUUUUGAAAUGUGAAGAGAAGGAAAAAAGGAAAAGCUAUUUAGAGCUGAGUCUAGACAAUACGACAGAAUAAGGGCACCUCAAAGAUGGCCGCAUCCUGAUUCUUGGAACCUGGGAACAUGUUAAAUUACAUGUGAGAAGAUUUAAGAUGUACUCUCUUGGCAACUUUCAAGUAUGUAGUACAAUAUUGUUAACCAUAGUCACCAUGCUGUGUAUUAGAUCCCCAG
This 510-nucleotide long non-coding RNA is filed under the name Equus asinus (donkey). RNAcentral's name for it is "lncRNA (ENSEASG00005037166.1)". The record is from RNAcentral. Lineage: Eukaryota; Metazoa; Chordata; Mammalia; Perissodactyla; Equidae.